This 358-nucleotide unclassified non-coding RNA is filed under the name Hevea brasiliensis (rubber tree). The record is from RNAcentral. Lineage: Eukaryota; Viridiplantae; Streptophyta; Magnoliopsida; Malpighiales; Euphorbiaceae.
AUCCUGAGGAUCUUUUCUUGGAUGAGCAAAAACAAUGGCCAAUCCCACCAAGAGAGCCGAUAUAAGAAGAGAUCCAACGCUGGUGAGGAAAACCACAACCACGCUAAAGACAAUAAGCAACCCGAGGGUUUCACGAUCGGUGAAGGUACGGCCAAAGAGAACGAGAGGCUGAUCAGAAGGGCGGAAAAGAUAGAGAAAUAGCCAAGAGGCCAGGAGUACAAGAAGGAGCAAGAGUGACAAGGGAUGGGAAAGCAAAGAGAAAGCCAAGAUGAGGGCAAUGACGGUCAAGUAAUUAACGCGGAAGUAGGAAUAAUUCUUGCGGACACGUAGAGCAGCCUCAGAGAAGGAUUCAGGUUUG